AGAGUUUGAUCAUGGCUCAGAACGAACGUUGGCGGCGUGGAUUAGGCAUGCAAGUCGAGCGAGGACCGGGGGCAACCCCGGAGCCGAGCGGCGUAAGGGGCAGUAAUGCGUGGGUAACGUACCCCCGGGACCGGGAUAGCCGCGGGAAACUGCGGGUAAUACCGGGAGACGUUGCGGAGGGGCAUCUCUCUGCGACCAAAUGAAUUUCGCCCGGGGAGCGGCUCACGUGGUAUUAGCUAGUUGGUAGGGUAAUGGCCUACCAAGGCUGAGAUGCCUAGCGGGUGUGAGAGCACGACCCGCGCCACUGGCACUGAGACACUGGCCAGACACCUACGGGUGGCUGCAGUCGAGGAUCUUCGGCAAUGGGCGCAAGCCUGACCGAGCGACGCCGCGUGCGGGAUGAAGGCCUUCGGGUUGUAAACCGCUGUCGUGGGGGAGGAAAGCCGCAAGGCUUGACCUAUCCCAGGAGGAAGCACGGGCUAAGUUCGUGCCAGCAGCCGCGGUAAGACGAACCGUGCAAACGUUGUUCGGAAUCACUGGGCUUAAAGGGCGCGUAGGCGGCUCAGCAAGUCGGGGGUGAAAUCUUUCGGCUCAACCGGAAAAGUGCCUUCGAUACUGCGGAGCUCGAGGAAGAUAGGGGCCACGGGAACGACCAGUGGAGCGGUGAAAUGCGUUGAGAUUGGUAGGAACGCCGGUGGCGAAAGCGCGUGGCUGGAUCUUCCCUGACGCUGAGGCGCGAAAGCUAGGGGAGCAAACGGGAUUAGAUACCCCAGUAGUCC
This 779-nucleotide ribosomal RNA is filed under the name uncultured Planctomycetaceae bacterium. Its description in RNAcentral is "bacterial SSU rRNA". It matches the Rfam family "Bacterial small subunit ribosomal RNA", at positions 8 to 796 of the family's 1533-position model. The record is from RNAcentral. Lineage: Bacteria; Pseudomonadati; Planctomycetota; Planctomycetia; Planctomycetales; Planctomycetaceae.